UCAAGAAACUUCCACAAUGGGCGAAAGCCUGAUGGAGCGACGUCGCGUGAUGGACGAAGUGCUUCGGCACGUAAACAUCUUUUUAUGUGGGAUGAAAUUAUUGACAGUACCACAUGAAUAAGGGGCUCCUAACUCUGUGCCAGCAGGAGCGGUAAUACAGAGGCCCCAAGCGUUAUCCGGAAUCACUGGGCGUAAAGGGUGUCGAGGCGGUUGUAUUAGUCGUUCGUAAAAUCUACGAGCUUAACUUGUAGGCGGCGAACGAAACGGUACGACUUGAGGUUUGGAGAGGUGCGUGGAACUCACGGUGUAGGGGUGAAAUCCGUUGAUAUCGUGGGGAACACCAAAGGCGAAGGCAGCGCACUGGCCAAAAUCUGACGCUCACACACGAAAGCUAGGGUAGCGAAGAGGAUUAGAUACCCGGGUAGUCCCUGAGCGGGCUGGCAAGGCGCAU
RNAcentral lists this ribosomal RNA (451 nucleotides) under uncultured bacterium. RNAcentral's name for it is "bacterial SSU rRNA". It matches the Rfam family "Bacterial small subunit ribosomal RNA", at positions 355 to 825 of the family's 1533-position model. The record is from RNAcentral.